GGUUUGUAGAGUGUGUACCUAAAAAGUAAGGGAGCUGUGUGAUGUGGUUUUCAAGGCACUGUCUCACCUUUUCCUCAGAAGACUUUUCCCUCCUUAAUCCUCUCCAGGUGGUCUUCUGGUCCUUCAGCUUGAGGAGUGAGCCAUAAUGCAGGUCUCCGUGGGGGCUCCAAAGGGGGCUGGCUAACUUCUUUGCUGACCUCCACCUUUCUUUCUGCCUGUUGAAUCUGGGUCCCUCUUGGGUCUACAUACGUGGAGGGGCAAAGAGGGCGAGUACCUGGCUCCUGUCUCUGAUCAGGACACACCCGGGUCAGAAAGAUGAGGUCUGUCCGGUUCUGCAAGGGUGUUAUUUGAAGAAUGAAAGGGGACGACUUCGUCUGGUACUCAGAGAAGCCCAAUCAUUCAUAGAGCUGCAGGAGGAGACAUUAAGCUCCAUUGAGCCAAUGGAUUCAUUGAUUCCAUCUAUUCGACUACCAAAGUUAGAAUCAAAUAAAAGCAAAUGCAAAUAAAAAGCACCCUUGUCAGCAGUCACGUUUGGUCGGAAGAUCAGCUUUGCUGCAUCCGAAAGGUCACUGCCCAGAGGAGCACACUUUGGACCCUGACAAGCAACGUGCCAUGAAUUGACUUGGAGGCACAGCUGACACUUGUAAAUCCCACCCCCAGCCCGGCCGUCAGCUCAUCCCACCUCAUCAUGCCUCUCAGAUACGCUCACAGCCCAGAUUUUCAAGUACCAGACCUCACAGGAAGAGGCCAAUCAUCCGCAUGUAGAAGUCUGUGUUAAAUGAAAUACAGGAUCAAGCCAAGGAGCCUGAGUUAGGGACUGGUGUUGACAGCUCCUCAUUCCCGCCACUUACUAAUUUUAUUUCCCUCCUCAGCUGGUGUCAUUGCCUAAAAACCUUUUAAGCACAGGUUUUCAUAUUCUGUGAUUUAACUCUUUAGGACCUUCUGUAACAGGGGAACUAAUGACCUCUUCUCUAUGAACAUUUUAAAUUGAGCUUAUUCUUAUGGAAAUUUGAUCUUUAGUGGUUUUAUCAGAGUGAUUUUGUUUAAAGCUGGGUAUAAACCUAGGUAUUCUAACCCUGAGUUUACCACGGACAGUUGAAGAUUAGACUUGUAACAAAAGACACAGGCGCUGUAUGCCAGGAUCUUGAGGAACCCUGCGUGAAUUAGAAAGAAGAAGCGCCGACCCUGUUAAAUGCCUGAUGGUGCUGCACUGGGACGUGCGUCAGGAGACAGAUGCCGCCCCGUCAUCGGCUCGCUAGUAAGACCUGAUCCUGUGUGUGAUUUUGGAAAACUAUGGAAUUGAAUUGAAUUCUCCCAGAAGACUUCCAACAGUGUUUUGGAUGUUAUUUUCUGCAUCUUCCUUUGGU
Bos taurus (domestic cattle) is the source of this 1367-nucleotide long non-coding RNA. Lineage: Eukaryota; Metazoa; Chordata; Mammalia; Artiodactyla; Bovidae. The record is from Ensembl.